Molecule: long non-coding RNA, 137 nt
Organism: Dromaius novaehollandiae (emu)
Lineage: Eukaryota; Metazoa; Chordata; Aves; Casuariiformes; Dromaiidae
Exons: 3
Source: RefSeq, a predicted model, not a curated record
CAGGUCUGCUGUGGGCCUUUCCCAGGCGUGGCUGAGACUUUCAGGCGCCACGGGCUUCCCCCCGGGCAGGAUGUUGGCGUUUGGAGUUGUUGUGGUGCAGGUGAUGAAGGCAAAUGUGGUGAGCAAAGGAAGAUCAG